RNAcentral lists this long non-coding RNA (997 nucleotides) under Vulpes vulpes (red fox). RNAcentral describes it as "lncRNA (ENSVVUG00000000860.1)". Lineage: Eukaryota; Metazoa; Chordata; Mammalia; Carnivora; Canidae. The record is from RNAcentral.
AACAAAGUUCUGGGCAAAUUCCAUUAACGUAUCUCUGAAUAUAUCAGUGUAGUGGCACAAUUAGGGAAACAUUUUGAUCUGAAUGACCACACUUGAUUUUCCAACAAUCUUACAAGAUAGUCAAGGCAAGUAUUUGUGCCAUUUCAUACAUGAAGAAGCUGAGAAUCUCAGCCAUUAGGUCAUCACCAGGCAACAUGGAACAGGACCGCUAGAGGUCUCACAGCAACUCUAGCACUGUCCCUCUGCCCCUGCCAUCUGUCCGUAGUUGUGAAUGAGCAUUUAGAGUCAUUUCCUACGUACAAUAUCACUUUGCCCUGAAGCACAGUAGUAUCAGCUAGACAACAUCACACUUAAGAUCCUUCUAAUCUUAUGAUUUAAUGUGACGGUUUUCCAUUAUGACUGGAACACUGAUUAAUCUUCAUUUCAUGCCCCAACACGGUGCUGGAUACAUGGGAAGAAUGCAAUUAUUUCAGCCCUCUUAGGGCAUUAUCAAUAUGCAACCAGUGUAUCUGCUCCCUCUGAAUGGAUUCCAUGGCCACCGAACCAAAGGGUACAAGAGCUGACUUCGUCCAGACCCCGACCUUCCGUGAGAGGAUAGAUAUUUUGGUUCUCAUCUUACACAGGAGCUGACUGUAGUCCGCAGAGGCUAAUCCAUUCAGAGGAGGAGGAGAGAUUAAAGAUUUAAUGGAAGAAGAGAAGCCAUGGGUGACGGGAUAAAUCGUUCCUGGUAAUCAGACAGCUAAAAAGUGUUGCAAGGGGAUCCGGUUUCAGGUCCUCUGCUUCCAAACCUCGAGCUCAUUUUACUACAUGUUAAUAGAUUUCUCUGCUCUUUAGAUCUUCAGUUUUUUUUUUUAAUUUUUAUUUAUUUAAGAGAGAGAGAGAGAGAGAGAGAGGCAGAGACACAGCAGAGGGAGAAGCAGGCUNAAUUUUUAUUUAUUUAAGAUAGAUAGAUAGAGAGAGAGAGAGAGAGAGAGGCAGAGACGUAGGCAGAGGGAGA